RNAcentral lists this ribosomal RNA (512 nucleotides) under uncultured bacterium. RNAcentral's name for it is "partial 16S ribosomal RNA". It matches the Rfam family "Bacterial small subunit ribosomal RNA", at positions 28 to 523 of the family's 1533-position model. The record is from RNAcentral.
GAUGAACGCUGGCGGCAUGCCUAAUACAUGCAAGUCGAACGAGAGGAAGGAAAGCUUGCUUUUCUGAAUCUAGUGGCGAACGGGUGAGUAACACGUAGGUAACCUGCCCAUGUGCCCGGGAUAACUUCUGGAAACGGAUGCUAAAACCGGACCGGUAGCAGACAAGCAUUUGACUGCUAUUAAAGUGGCUAAGGCCAUGAACAUGGAUGGACCUGCGGUGCAUUAGCUAGUUGGUGAGGUAACGGCCCACCAAGGCGACGAUGCAUAGCCGGCCUGAGAGGGCGGACGGCCACAUUGGGACUGAGACACGGCCCAAACUCCUACGGGAGGCAGCAGUAGGGAAUUUUCGUCAAUGGGGGGAACCCUGAACGAGCAAUGCCGCGUGAGUGAGGAAGGUCUUCGGAUCGUAAAGCUCUGUUGUAAGAGAAAAACGACAUUCAUAGGGAAUGAUGAGUGAGUGAUGGUAUCUUACCAGAAAGUCACGGCUAACUACGUGCCAGCAGCCGCAGUAA